Molecule: ribosomal RNA, 253 nt
Filed under: uncultured bacterium
Lineage: Bacteria
Description: partial 16S ribosomal RNA
Rfam family: Bacterial small subunit ribosomal RNA
Source: RNAcentral
GACGAACCGUGCAAACGUUGUUCGGAUUCACUGGGCUUAAAGGGCGCGUAGGCGGGUUUUCAAGUCCGGGGUGAAAUCCUCUCGCUCAACGAGAGAACUGCCCCGGAUACUGGAGACCUCGAGGGAGGUAGGGGCAUGUGGAACUUCCGGUGGAGCGGUGAAAUGCGUAGAUAUCGGAAGGAACGCCGGUGGCGAAAGCGACGUGCUGGACCUCUUCUGACGCUGAGGCGCGAAAGCCAGGGGAGCAAACGGG